UGAAUUCAGUCUGUGCAGAGUUGUGCUGG
This 29-nucleotide non-coding RNA is filed under the name Mus musculus (house mouse). Lineage: Eukaryota; Metazoa; Chordata; Mammalia; Rodentia; Muridae. The record is from RNAcentral.